This is a long non-coding RNA of Cyprinus carpio (common carp), 1405 nucleotides long. RefSeq lists it as uncharacterized. The record is from RefSeq and is a predicted model, not a curated record. The transcript has 3 exons. NCBI's taxonomy places the organism in Eukaryota, Metazoa, Chordata, Actinopteri, Cypriniformes, Cyprinidae.
CGCUUCAACUUUUGCUUUUCUACGCGCGUCUAUUUCGCUCUAGACGCGCGAAUGCAUUCAAAAUGUUCAAGCGGCAAACUAGACGCGGUAGACGCGAAUUUGACGCUCUAUUCGCGUUUGGUGUGAACGCAGCAGAAUUUAAGUAUUUAAAUAAGUACGCAGCAUAAGAAUUCAGUGCUUUGAUGAGCACCACUGCGAAUACAAAAAUCUGAAUGGCUGUUUGAAAGAACAGAAAGUAGUGCAGUUGCUUUGUUUACAGGGUUACCGGGGUAACGGCUGCAUUUCUGCUGUUCCAUCAGCGCCACCUGCUGGCAGAGAGUGCGGUAUGCGCUGUUUUCCAUGUCUCCUCAAAGACUGAAAGAGUAGGAAUCCCUCAGACUGAGUGCAGUGUAGAGAGUAAAACUGACCCCUCCUCCUCCUGUUGGUGCGAGCGAGCGGUCUCAUACUGGCCCAUGCCUACACGCUGUAGCUGGUCAACAACCCCUACCAAGCCAUCGUAGAUGGUGUCCGGUUCUUGGGCACAGCAGGACAGAAUAUCAGUGAUAUUGUGAAGUACAGCAGUAUGGAUGAUCAUCUGGAAAUACUGGAAAGCACACUAAGACUCCGACACCUGGCUCCCACCACUCCGGACACACUGGGACCUGAAGGACAAGAUGUUCUCCUGAUAGCAAUCCCAGAGUUCAGCAGCACACAGACCGCUGUCUUGUGAACCUGCGCACCUUGGAGUGCUUCUCCUCUUUCUCCUCCGAGGAUGAUGAGGACAAUGAGAUGAAUAUCAGCCACUAAACACUCACUUAUCAACACGUGACACUUGUUCCUGUAGUCUGUCCAACAAAGACUUGCUUCUGUUGUUGUGUUUUAUCAAUAAAGCUCCCUCUUUUGUAUGGAAACUUAAUCUUCCCUCUUCAGGUGUAGAGUUACAUUGUACUAUGGACCUUGUGUUUCUGAAAAAUGAUUCUAAAUUCUAGAUUAUUAGCCUCAUAUAUUUACUUAAAUUUAAAUGAUGGAUAUUUGAAUUUCUUUAUGCAUAGUCCUCAGAGAAAGUCGACACUUCUGAUACAAUUCUAUUAUAUAUAAAACCUCACCAUAUGAACAAGCCCUUAAUUUUAUAUUUUGAAAACAAUUUCUCGAUUAGUUUCAUCUUUAGAGGCCAGGAACUAGAUAUAUGUAAUAGUGCUUUCUCAAAAGAAAAACAGUUUAUUAUUUACUGAGAAGCACUGUCUGUUGGAAAUCUAUAAUAAUGGAGAGAUCUGAUCGUUUGUAAACAUUUAUUUUAUUGAGACGUGUAAUGAUAAUUUCAGACAGUAGUGUGGUAGGUAGGUAAUAUUUGCUAAACAUAAUGAAAACAGCAAAGUCACUCUGGAAUUUCUUACCGAAGAAAAUAUUAAAUUAAUAGUGCGGACUU